RNAcentral lists this ribosomal RNA (199 nucleotides) under uncultured bacterium. Its description in RNAcentral is "partial 16S ribosomal RNA". It matches the Rfam family "Bacterial small subunit ribosomal RNA", at positions 328 to 539 of the family's 1533-position model. The record is from RNAcentral.
ACGCUCGACACCUACGGGAGGCAGCAGUCGGGAAUAUUGCGCAAUGGAGGAAACUCUGACGCAGUGACGCCGCGUAUAGGAAGAAGGUUUUCGGAUUGUAAACUAUUGUCGUUAGGGAAGAUACAAGACAGUACCUAAGGAGGAAGCACCGGCUAACUAUGUGCUAGCAGCCGCGGUAAUCUGAGCGGGCUGGCAAGGC